GAAACCAACAGGGAUUGCCCCAGUAGCGGCGAGUGAAGCGGCAAAGGCUCAAAUUUGAAAUCUGGCGCAAGCCCGAGUUGUAAUUUGCAGAGGGUGCUUCGGCCUGCGGCCACGGCUCAAGUGCCCUGGAAAGGGACGCCGCGGAGGGUGAUAGCCCCGUCAAGGGACGUCGGCCCGCGGCCCUGUGUAGCACCCUCGACGAGUCGAGUUGUUUGGGGAUGCAGCUCCAAUCAGGGAGGUAAAUUCCUUCCAAAGCUAAAUACCAGCCGAGGACCGAUAGCGCACAAGUAGAGUGAUCGAAAGAUGAAAAGCACUUUGGAAAGAGAGUCAAACAGUACGUGAAAUUGCUGAGAGGGAAGCGUUUGCGAUCAGACGCGUGGGCGGUCGGCUCACCCCGGCCCUUGUGGCCUGGGGCAUUCCCUCCGCCUGCGAGCCGGCAUCGGCCCGGACGGCGGCACGAGCCGGGCAGGAACGUGACUCCCCCCCGUGGGAGUGAUUAUAGCCCGCCCGGUAUCUACCCACCGCCCGCCCGGGCCGAGGACGGCGUGCCCCUCGGGGUGCAAGGAUGCUGGCGAAAUGGUCGUAAGCGGCCCGUCUUGA
Molecule: ribosomal RNA, 600 nt
Filed under: Laboulbenia diopsidis
Lineage: Eukaryota; Fungi; Ascomycota; Laboulbeniomycetes; Laboulbeniales; Laboulbeniaceae
Description: partial large subunit ribosomal RNA
Rfam family: Eukaryotic large subunit ribosomal RNA
Source: RNAcentral